Molecule: ribosomal RNA, 274 nt
Filed under: uncultured bacterium
Lineage: Bacteria
Description: partial 16S ribosomal RNA
Rfam family: Bacterial small subunit ribosomal RNA
Source: RNAcentral
AUACGGAGGGUGCAAGCGUUAAUCGGAAUUACUGGGCGUCAAGCGCGCGUAGGCGGCUUAUUAAGUCAGAUGUGAAAUCCCCGGGCUCAACCUGGGAACUGCAUCUGAUACUGGUAAGCUAGAGUUUUGGAGAGGGAAGUAGAAUUUCAGGUGUAGCGGUGAAAUGCAUAGAGAUCUGAAGGAAUACCAGUGGAGAAGGCGACUUCCUGGCCAAAAACUGACGCUGAGGUGCGAAAGCGUGGGUAGCAAACAGGAUUAGAAACCCCAGUAGUCC